UACGGAGGGGACUAGCGUUGUUCGGAAUUAUUGGGCGUAAAGGGCAAGUAGGUGGUCUUAUUUGUCCGAGGUGAAAUCCCUAGGCUUAACCUAGGAACUGCCUUGGAAACGAUAAGACUGGAGUCCUGGAGAGGGUCGUAGAAUUCCCGGUGUAGCGGUGAAAUGCGUAGAGAUCGGGAGGAAUACCAGAGGCGAAAGCGGCGACCUGGACAGGUACUGACACUCAACUGCGAAAGCAUGGGGAGCAAACAGG
This 253-nucleotide ribosomal RNA is filed under the name uncultured bacterium. Its description in RNAcentral is "partial 16S ribosomal RNA". It matches the Rfam family "Bacterial small subunit ribosomal RNA", at positions 524 to 776 of the family's 1533-position model. The record is from RNAcentral.